This 45-nucleotide non-coding RNA is filed under the name Trichobilharzia regenti. The record is from RNAcentral. Lineage: Eukaryota; Metazoa; Platyhelminthes; Trematoda; Strigeidida; Schistosomatidae.
AUCCAGCUGACGAGUCUCAAAUAGGACGAAAUGCACAUCCUGGAU